This 369-nucleotide ribosomal RNA is filed under the name Bacillus cereus. RNAcentral describes it as "bacterial SSU rRNA". It matches the Rfam family "Bacterial small subunit ribosomal RNA", at positions 553 to 921 of the family's 1533-position model. Lineage: Bacteria; Bacillati; Bacillota; Bacilli; Caryophanales; Bacillaceae. The record is from RNAcentral.
AUUGGGCGUAAGCGCGCGCAGGUGGUUUCUUAAGUCUGAUGUGAAAGCCCACGGCUCAACCGUGGAGGGUCAUUGGAAACUGGGAGACUUGAGUGCAGAAGAGGAAAGUGGAAUUCCAUGUGUAGCGGUGAAAUGCGUAGAGAUAUGGAGGAACACCAGUGGCGAAGGCGACUUUCUGGUCUGUAACUGACACUGAGGCGCGAAAGCGUGGGGAGCAAACAGGAUUAGAUACCCUGGUAGUCCACGCCGUAAACGAUGAGUGCUAAGUGUUACAGGGUUUCCGCCCUUUACUGCUGAAGUUAACGCAUUAACCACUCCGCCUGGGGAGUACGGCCGCAAGGCUGAAACUCAAAGGAUUUGACGGGGGCC